GCAAGAGGCAGUCAGCUGUCCGAGGAGCAGAAGCACCAAGCUGCAAGACAAAGCCACAUCAUGUAGGACCUUUUCUGCCUCCUUAUACUCACAGCGAAGACAGCAGUGCAUGACGUGAGGGCUGUCCACGGCCGAGCCUCCCUAGUGUUGUUUGGAUUGUUUUUGCUUUUCUUGCCAGUAUGAUGGGCUGCAAGUCCAACUCACUCACUUGCCUCCAAGGAGGAAAACCAGGGCUGCCUCUGACCGCAACCACGGACUCCACAGCUACCCUUAACAAGCUGGCGCUGGCCACAGGAGGGACUGAGAAAUCCUGGUACCGAUGCAUCUUUCCUUUUGGCAUCGUCUCCCUGGUCAUUGGCAUAGCAGCAACCUGCAUCACCUUCACCAUUAAUGGGCCACAGAUGGACAUUGCCAAGGUGGUCUCAGUGGCCACCUUGAUCUUUGGCGUGGGCCUACUAGUGGCUGCCUACGUCUGCUGGCGGGCCAAGCAAGAGAGGCAGAGGAAAAGGAAGCGAGAGGAGCCUGCAUCCUUAGAGCAGGGAGCACUAUGAUGUGGGCCUUAUGGCAGUCAGAACUCCAAUGGGCAGACCUAUGCUCAUGACUUUCCCCUUUGUCCUGUGCCACAUGGUGGACAGGGAGUGCUUUGUGGGCAACACCAGCACUGAAGACCAGAGGAUGCCUGGAUCACACCUGGGGUCAGCUUGCCCAUGUUUUACCACCUUGCUGAGCCAUGACUGAGCCAGCAACAAGCACAUCUCUGCUCACUAUAAAGGGGUAAAAGUCAACUGUAUGAGCAGGGGGGAAGUACAGCUCACCAUGCAGCAGACUCACGACUCCCCAAGGAUUUCUCCAUAGUGAGAUUUCUAAGCUCACUUUCAGCAAUCAUCCAUCCCUGUGGAAAAGUGCUACAGCUGGCUGUAAGAAGGCACCAGAAAAAAUGAAGGGAGACAGAUGUUUUUUCUCUGCAUCACCCUCCGCCCUGGCUCCAGGUCCAUACACAACACUUCUAGAGUUCAGCUUUAUCACAAGUUGAGAAUCGUGGCGUGGCCCCAGAGAGCUGACACUUGCAGGAAAACUUGCCUCCAUUCAUCUGAAACUUCAGAAGAUGCUGAGCCUGGGCUAAGUUUCUGAACUAGUGAACAAUGUUUCUCUGUCUGCCUUUGUGUCUGGGGGGGUGGGAAUUUCUGAGAGCAGCUCAGAAAGGGCCUGGAAAUGUCCUAAAUAGCUUCAGAAGAAAUUGACAGUUCCCUCAGCCCCUUUCUUCAAGAGGGCCACUGCAUCGCAGGAAAAAGGUCCUAGCUGGUAAUUUCAAAGCAAAUGUUUUCAGUGUGAGGAGUUCACAAGAAAAUCUGAUACUUCCCCCUCCCCCUGCCUUUAGCAGAGGCAAGGAGGAGGAAAGCAUUCACUCAGCGAAGGGCAGAGGCCUUCUGUGGGAUAAAGAGCUGGUGCAAAACAGGAGCAUUUCUGACUUGGCUUGAUGGGAAGGUGGAAAAUGAGUUGAAACUUAUGGUAUCAGUGGGAAGUGCUACUUCCGAAGCUGAGCCUGGCUUGGCACAGAGAAGAGAGGAAGGUGCUGGGCUGAUGCGCCUUUUUGGAAAAGAGCAUAGUGUGGCAUACAGGUGGCAUUAGAAAGUCUCAGGAUAGGAUGCCUUCCCAUCAGACCUGCAGCUUGGCACAGAGAAGGCAGGAAAAGGUAUUAAGCUGGCCUGCUGUUUAGUGCAGAGCACAGCUCAGCAGGCAGAGGCGGCUUAAAGCACUCCAUCUCCUGCCAUGGGUUAAUGGGUCUGUACUUUGCACCAGGUGUCUCCAGAUGGGCUUUUGUUGAGCUGAGCAAGCUGCAGGCAGAGUAUACUAACUCUUUGAUAGCUGCAUGGAUAAACAAGUCCAGGAGAGAGCUGAGAUGGCCCUGGAUAGAAACCCAGGAGACAGGGCGGUGGGGACGGGACUCUGACUGAUUUCAGGAGCUAAAAAUAUGAGAAUACACAGGAAGAAGGGGGCAUCUGCUAGUGUGUUCAGAAGUAGGCCCUCAGAAAGCAGAAAAGCAAGUGUACAUGUGAUGCUGGCCCCACUGGUGCAGAAUGACAGCUGGGCUGGGGCUGCAGUUGCAGCCAAAACCUUUUUAAGUGAAAGUAACAGCAGCCAGGUCCCAGCUUUAUACCUUGAGCUUAGGCCUCAGCUCUGUAAAACCGGCUUGAUACAAGAGUGCCUUGAGCAGGCCAGGAGGGGCACCUUCUGCCCCAUGCCAGUAUCCUUACCUCCCUCUCAAGCAACGUCUUUGAGGGAGGGUCCCACCAGAGACUGUAACCAGACCCCAGCAUUCACUGCUUUUCUGCUUCCCUUGUAGAGGGCAUCCCCUUCCUUCCCCCCAUCAUCUCCCACCAGCCCCAGAGAAGAGCCUCUCACAAACAGCUCUCUUUUGGACUCCCUCACUACAGAGAUAUGCCAGGAGCUACAGAAGGCAGCAUCUCUCCUGGCUUCUCAGGAGCUGGAGCCUUUCCACCCACAACAAAAAGGAGGAUAAAUCAAACAAAGAAGGAGAAGAGGUUGGAAAAGUGACAGCCAUGGCUCAGGAAAGACUGAGCUGAGUGGAGAGUUGGAGGAGAGGACUCACGGCCUCCCCUGCCUUCUCCUUACAAGUCUUCAGCCAAGUUCUGGAAAACAGAUUGUCUUGGAAAAUCUAAGUAAGGUAUCAUUUACCUGGUGAAGUGGAACAGUUCCUGCGGAGAAAGAACAAGCCUUGACCCAUACCAGCCUCUGGUAUCUACAUACCAUACAUAUUUAUAUAUUCUGUUGUUUUUUCAGAAAAGUGUCACUGGAAUUUAAUUUCAGUAUAAAGACGAAUAUUUCCUC
Alligator sinensis (Chinese alligator) is the source of this 2850-nucleotide long non-coding RNA. RefSeq lists it as uncharacterized. The record is from RefSeq and is a predicted model, not a curated record. The transcript is spliced from 2 exons. NCBI's taxonomy places the organism in Eukaryota, Metazoa, Chordata, Crocodylia, Alligatoridae.